This 253-nucleotide ribosomal RNA is filed under the name uncultured archaeon. Its description in RNAcentral is "partial 16S ribosomal RNA". It matches the Rfam family "Archaeal small subunit ribosomal RNA", at positions 474 to 726 of the family's 1478-position model. The record is from RNAcentral.
UCCCGGCGGUCCAAGUCGCAUCCACAAUUAUUGGGUCUAAAACAUCCGUAGCUUGUUUUGUAAGUCUCUUGUGAAAUCUGAUAUCUCAAGUAUCAGGCGUGCAAGAGAUACUGCAAUGCUAGAGACCGGAAGACGCAAAGAGUACGAUUAAGGUAGUGGUAAAAUAUGUUAAUCUUUAUCGGACUAACAAUGGCGAAGGCACUUUGCGAGUACGGAUCUGACAGUGAGGGAUGAAGGCUAGGGGCGCAAAAGG